Mesocricetus auratus (golden hamster) is the source of this 482-nucleotide long non-coding RNA. RefSeq lists it as uncharacterized. Lineage: Eukaryota; Metazoa; Chordata; Mammalia; Rodentia; Cricetidae. The record is from RefSeq and is a predicted model, not a curated record. The transcript is spliced from 3 exons.
AAAGCUGAGAAGAACAGAAAUGUUGAUCAAGACAGCCCAGAAGGUUGAAUACUGACUUUCAUGGAGUCAUAUACACAGCAUUAGAGGAAAAAACACAAAAGGAGUAAUAAAAGAGUCAGACAGCCUGGAAAUGGCUCCUUGAUGAGAUGCCUACCACAAAGAGAGAUGAAAAAGGAACAACACCUGGACAGCUGAGAACAUUAAGGCUCCUGAUACUUGACAGCUACUCUCCAGCAUCAUGCAUUUUAUUUUUAGUUCAAGUAUUUUUUAUGGUGACAGAGAAGAACUAAAACUGUACCAUCAGCAUGUGAUCAGCCACAUAUGGUAAUAAGUCCUUAUCAGCAGGCCUCUUAAAAAGAACCAAGAAGAGAACCACCAGAGGCCUGAGGUCUGCCCACAGGAUAUCCGGAUCCCAGCCCGACCAGAUUCAACCCACACAGAGACUGCCAGCUUCCAAGACCCAUCCUCCACCCACUGGACUG